GACGUAGGGAGCGAGCGUUGUCCGGAUUCAUUGGGCGUAAAGAGCGCGCAGGCGGUUUGGUAAGUCGGAUGUGAAAUCCCGGAGCUCAACUCCGGACCUGCAUCCGAUACUGCCCGACUAGAGGUAGGUAGGGGAGAUCGGAAUUCCUGGUGUAGCGGUGAAAUGCGCAGAUAUCAGGAGGAACACCGGUGGCGAAGGCGGAUCUCUGGGCCUUACCUGACGCUCAGGCGCGAAAGCUAGGGGAGCGAACAGG
This 253-nucleotide ribosomal RNA is filed under the name uncultured bacterium. RNAcentral describes it as "partial 16S ribosomal RNA". It matches the Rfam family "Bacterial small subunit ribosomal RNA", at positions 524 to 776 of the family's 1533-position model. The record is from RNAcentral.